This 569-nucleotide ribosomal RNA is filed under the name Acinetobacter calcoaceticus. RNAcentral's name for it is "bacterial SSU rRNA". It matches the Rfam family "Bacterial small subunit ribosomal RNA", at positions 108 to 672 of the family's 1533-position model. Lineage: Bacteria; Pseudomonadati; Pseudomonadota; Gammaproteobacteria; Moraxellales; Moraxellaceae. The record is from RNAcentral.
GAGUAAUGCUUAGGAAUCUGCCUAUUAGUGGGGGACAACAUUUCGAAAGGAAUGCUAAUACCGCAUACGUCCUACGGGAGAAAGCAGGGGAUCUUCGGACCUUGCGCUAAUAGAUGAGCCUAAGUCGGAUUAGCUAGUUGGUGGGGUAAAGGCCUACCAAGGCGACGAUCUGUAGCGGGUCUGAGAGGAUGAUCCGCCACACUGGGACUGAGACACGGCCCAGACUCCUACGGGAGGCAGCAGUGGGGAAUAUUGGACAAUGGGCGCAAGCCUGAUCCAGCCAUGCCGCGUGUGUGAAGAAGGCCUUAUGGUUGUAAAGCACUUUAAGCGAGGAGGAGGCUACUGAAGUUAAUACCUUCAGAUAGUGGACGUUACUCGCAGAAUAAGCACCGGCUAACUCUGUGCCAGCAGCCGCGGUAAUACAGAGGGUGCAAGCGUUAAUCGGAUUUACUGGGCGUAAAGCGCGCGUAGGCGGCUAAUUAAGUCAAAUGUGAAAUCCCCGAGCUUAACUUGGGAAUUGCAUUCGAUACUGGUUAGCUAGAGUGUGGGAGAGGAUGGUAGAAUUCCAG